AUUUAUAUAGUUUAAAAAAAAACUUAUAUUUUCAAUAUAAAAAUAAUUAAAUUUAAUUUAUAAAUA
This 66-nucleotide transfer RNA is filed under the name Apis mellifera (honey bee). Its description in RNAcentral is "tRNA-Glu". Lineage: Eukaryota; Metazoa; Arthropoda; Insecta; Hymenoptera; Apidae. The record is from RNAcentral.